UAAUACGAAGGUGGCAAGCGUUAUUCGGAUUUACUGGGCGUACAGGGAGCGUAGGCGGUUCGGUAAGCCCUCUGUGAAAUCUCCAGGCUUAACCUGGAAAAGUCGGGGGGGACUGCUGGGCUAGAGGACGGGAGAGGAGCGCGGAAUUCCCGGUGUAGCGGUGAAAUGCGUAGAGAUCGGGAGGAAGGCCGGUGGCGAAGGCGGCGCUCUGGAACGUUUCUGACGCUGAGGCUCGAAAGCGUGGGGAGCAAACAGGAUUAGAUACCCUGGUAGUCCACGCCUUAAACUAUGAAUACUAAGUGUCGGCGGUUUACCGCCGGUGCCGCAGCUAACGCAUUAAGUAUUCCGCCUGGGAAGUACGGCCGCAAGGUUGAAACUCAAAUGAAUUGACGG
This 393-nucleotide ribosomal RNA is filed under the name uncultured nitrite-oxidizing bacterium. RNAcentral's name for it is "bacterial SSU rRNA". It matches the Rfam family "Bacterial small subunit ribosomal RNA", at positions 521 to 916 of the family's 1533-position model. The record is from RNAcentral.